GUGGGGAAUAUUGGACAAUGGGCGAAAGCCUGAUCCAGCCAUGCCGCGUGUGUGAAGAAGGUCUUCGGAUUGUAAAGCACUUUAAGUUGGGAGGAAGGGCAGUAAGUUAAUACCUUGCUGUUUUGACGUUACCGACAGAAUAAGCACCGGCUAACUUCGUGCCAGCAGCCGCGGUAAUACGAAGGGUGCAAGCGUUAAUCGGAAUUACUGGGCGUAAAGCGCGCGUAGGUGGUUUUGUAAGUUGGAGGUGAAAUCCCCGGGCUCAACCUGGGAACUGCCUCCAAAACUACUGAGCUAGAGUACGGUAGAGGGUAGUGGAAUUUCCUGUGUAGCGGUGAAAUGCGUAGAUAUAGGAAGGAACACCAGUGGCGAAGGCGACUACCUGGACUGAUACUGACACUGAGGUGCGAAAGCGUGGGGAGCAAACAGGAUUAGAUACCCGGGUAGUCC
This 450-nucleotide ribosomal RNA is filed under the name uncultured bacterium. RNAcentral describes it as "bacterial SSU rRNA". It matches the Rfam family "Bacterial small subunit ribosomal RNA", at positions 354 to 796 of the family's 1533-position model. The record is from RNAcentral.